This 377-nucleotide ribosomal RNA is filed under the name uncultured eukaryote. RNAcentral describes it as "partial 18S ribosomal RNA". It matches the Rfam family "Eukaryotic small subunit ribosomal RNA", at positions 592 to 976 of the family's 1831-position model. The record is from RNAcentral.
CAAUAGCGUUUAUUUAAGUUGCUGCAGUUAAAAAGCUCGUAGUUGGAUUUCGGGUGGGAAUGGCCGGUCCGCCGUUUCGGUGUGCACUUGCUACGCCCACCUUGCUGCCGGGGACGUGCUCUUGAGUUCACGCUCGGGACACGGAGUCGGCGAGGUUACUUUGAGUAAAUUAGAGUGUUCAAAGCAGGCCUACGCUCUGAAUACAUUAGCAUGGAAUAACACGAUAGGACUCUGGCCUAUCUUGUUGGUCUGUAGGACCGGAGUAAUGAUUAAGAGGGACAGUCGGGGGCAUUCGUAUUUCAUUGUCAGAGGUGAAAUUCUUGGAUUUAUGAAAGACGAACUACUGCGAAAGCAUUUGCCAAGGAUGUUUUCAUUAA